UUUUUUUUUUUUUUUUUUUUUAAGCUCUUUUGAAUUGUUUUUCUUUCAUUUACAACCAAAGGGUCCUAACCAACAUGUUGGGGCCAGGCGGGAAGGGAAACUCCUCAAGAUGGUGGAUAUGCCAAAAUGGCUGGGGUUCUUGUCACCACCUCCACUUGGGACGCCAAUGGACCAAUGACCUGCUGACAGCUUGAGCAGACCCUUACACCUCUCCUUCGGACUUCCCCAACUGAACCCAAUGCCCUUCAAACCCCAGAGGAGGAAGUCACCUUUGACUGGUCGAAUUGCAAUCCUUCCUUUGCAUAGUGAGGGUCACUCUGACUGGUUGGAUUGCAAUCCUUCCUUUGCAUAUGAGCCAACCAAUAGGAAACCGUUCUGCCUUACAACGUUAUGUAAACCCCCUACCACCUUGUCUUGGCACGACUUCCCCGACUCACUCUCUCCCCCAUGAGUCAUGGAACCUCGCCAGAGGGUGCCUGCAAUAAAAUCUGUUCUUGGACCCUCGCUUGCCUUGGCGGUCUCAUUUCCAUUUAGUUACUAAAAAACUUAACACAACAUGUAAGUCAGUACUAGGAGUGGGAUGUAAUGAGUGACAGACCUACAUGGAAUUGGCUGUGUUUAGGUGGACUGAGGUGCAAUGAGGAUUCCCUCUCCCCACAUUCAAGUUGGUAAUCCAUUUCAUGGAUUGCAAAAGAGUUGGUUAGACUGUCACAUGUUAUAUUUUUGGAUUCACCUUAGAAGAAAAAAUAUCAUGAUGUUAUUUUAGUAGAGCAGGAAGGGAAGGCAAGAGAGCCUCGCUAAGAGACAGUGGCCAGCAAUUGAAGAGGGCUAAGAGUCAGAUAUUAUCUUCCUAUAGCUAAAGUUAGUGUAAGAAAAGGUAGUUAGGUGAGAAACACAGACGCAAUUAAGAUUAAGACCCAGAAGAAACCAGGAAAGUGGAGUGAGCCUAAUGGCCCAGGCCCCCUCUAACACCUCUAUAGUUCACUUGCUGCUCAAAAAACACAAUUAACUCCAUUGUAAAGAGCUCCAGAGUGAAGGCACAUUAGCCUUGCCUCAACCCAUUGUUUGAGAGGACAAGAUGGAAGCAGUUAACCCAGGGCUAGGAACUUGCACAGAGCUCUUGAGCCUGUUGCUAAGAGACAGAUAUUAUAAAAACAGGGUCAAAAUUCAUGGACCAUGACUCCAUAAGAUCUCUGGCUUUGGUUAAUAUCCCUUGAAGGUUCUGGAAAGCUAACCAACUGGCUAAUUGGUCCAACUUCCAAGUCCUGAAAAAAAGGCCUGUGAUUGUUCAAUCCCUAAGGUCAGCCCCAGAGCCCAGGAAUCCCUACAACAGAAAGUGAGCUAUGAGAAUAAAUAAAUAUAGCUCCUGGAAAAAACAAAAAAACAAAAAACAAAAACAAAAAACAACUCACUGCCUAUCUCAUAUAUGGUAGUAGAGAACAGAAGAUAUGGGGAAUGCUUUCAAAACACAACAAGGAUAGAGCCAACAGGGAACUCCCUCCACUACCACAUCAGGGCAUCCUGUGAAUAUUCAACCAGGAAUGGUAUGGGACAUGACAUUCACUUAGUGCCAACAGCAUUAUUUCCCCUAUUCUCUAUUUUUUUUUCCAAAAAGAAGUAUCUUAUUGUGGCUAUAUUCUUUUGCUUUCAUCAUUUCCUUCCUGGUAUGUCAGGAGUGAUUAAAUGCAUGAUUUGGCCUUGGUUUACAUUUGAAGAGGCAGCACAUCACACAGACACAACAAAGGAAGGCAAUGAGAUAGGAUUGAUAUAUAAAUGAGGCUACAAGAGAUCUGCAAUGCAUUAUUUCUUUUUUUAAAAAAUCUGUAGGAAAAAUUGGAGGGGGAAGGAUUUCUUUUUCUGUAGUAAAAAAUUAAAUGUAUUGGUUUACAGGGAGUCCAUAUGGAAUACUUUUAGUAUUUUACUGGUUUAAGAGUUAGACCUAGAUUUAAAUCAAGUCCUUUGCCUUCCCUCCCACACAAAAGGAAACCACUUGUCUAAGAUUGACAUGUUUUUUUCUGUUUUUAUACUUUUACUACCUUUGCACAUGUUCAUAAAUAAUAUAUAAUAUUUAUUUAUAUUCUUAAAAUUUACAUAAAUGGUAUGCUAUACUUAUCCUUGAGAAACUUGGCAUUCUCACUCAACAUCAUGUUUCUAAGAUUUAUACAUUUGGAUAUGUUCAUUCAUUUUAAUGAAUUGAUAGUAUUCUAAUAUAUGAAUAAAUCAUCCUUUACAUAUCCAUUCCCAUUCUGAUUCAAUAUUUGGGUUUUUUUAGUCAUCAUUAUAAUUUUGCUUUUAUAAGCAAUGAGGCAGUGAAGAUCUCUGGGCACAUCUUAUAUACAUGUGACAAUUUUCUAGAGCAUAUACCUAUACAUGAGCUUGCUGGGUAUAGUGUUUGCUCAUCUUCAAUGCAGUAGAUCUUGCUAAAUUGCUCCCUGGUGUAGUUUUACCAUUUGACAUUCUUGCCGGUAGUGGAUAAGGAUUCCUGUUUGUGGUGUCUCCUGACUCUGAUGUGUGAUGGUUUGAUUCAUGAGGUUUGUCUGCUUUUUAUUGUGAGCCUCUCUUCAUCAGGGGUAUUAGGUCUAUGGAAUUCUGUGUGCCCUGGAUUGUGAAAGAAUUCCUGCUGAGAAGUUUUAUAUUUGCUUUUACUGGAGCCUAUAGGGUUUCAAUGGUCCUUGACCAGGUUUAUGAUAAAUUCUCAGCUUGGGUGUCCCACACCAGACAGGUAGUGUAAAUUUGGAUCACAUACCUCUACAUAGUUCAGGCCCGGGGAUUAGGUUUCUUAAAUGAUUUUUUUUUUCUUUCUGUCUAAAUCUCUGAGCAAAUGACAAGCUCCCAUUUGCUUCCCCUGGUCAGUGGAUGCAAUUUUCUGGUCCACAUUUUAUGAGUGGGCAGCUCUUUGACUUUCCAGACUGUAUACAGGAUUCCUCCUUCCUCCAUUUCCUAUGAUCUGGAGGCCAUAUAACUUGUCCUCAUGGGGACACUAUGGGCCCAGCUCAAGUCUCACAUCAAAGCUAAAUUCCCAUGAGUCCCCUGCAACAGCUCUCCCUCACUCACUCACCAUAAGUAUAUUCAUUUCACUCUCUUUCCCUAUAUCUGAGAUGAACUUUUCUUUCUUCCAAGUUCGGCAAUGCAAUUUCACCAAAAGUCCAUUACAUUUUCCUUUUAUCUAGCAUUACUAUGUAUUUGAAGUUAAAGGGGAAUGAUCACAUCUAUUACCUUAAUCUGUCAUAUUACUGAGAGUCCUUUGAGGUGAUUAAGGUCACCUUCUAUUUUCAAACUCUACAAUUUUAAUUAAGUAUUCUAUAAGAGAAAAGAAAAAGAAGAGAUGCAUUAUGUAGGAAGAUUUAAAGAACCAUAUAUACCCAGGAAUAAAUAAUACCUAGUUUUCCUUAAUAUUCCACUCCUGUCAUCUGUCAGUCUGACUCUGAGAGUCAGCCGUUCAUUAUAAGCCCACACUCUUAGGCCAGAAAUUUUCCAGGGUGGGACAAUAUGAUUGUUCAAUCUUUGGAACUCCAGAGUGAAAGCCAUCAACUUGUGCUCAAGGUAUCUGUCCCACCUGAACACAUGCACCCCCUGUCAGGAACAGUCAGUGGGUAGGCAAAUGCUUUUUCAAACUCCUCCACACAGGGUCUUAUCUUCUCCUGCAACCAGUAUUCAUCUUAAUUCAGUGAAGCUGCCACAAGGACUUCCUGCUCUGUCCUCCUCU
Molecule: long non-coding RNA, 3706 nt
Filed under: Canis lupus familiaris (dog)
Lineage: Eukaryota; Metazoa; Chordata; Mammalia; Carnivora; Canidae
Description: lncRNA (ENSCAFG00000058171.1)
Source: RNAcentral